GUUACAUUAACGCUUGUUGUGUUUGUCAGAGUAAUAUUGUGAGAUAACGGCAAAGACAACUUUUAACAAUGGAUCUCUUGGCUCUUGCAACGAUGAAGAACGCAGUAAAGUGCGAAAUGUAGUGCGAUUUGCAUGAAUCUGUGAGUCAUCUAAUCUUUGAACGCAACUUGCGCCUCUUUUGAGGCAUGUCUGUUUGAGUACCGCAAAUCAUCUGCAGCAAUGCGAUUUGGUCGAUGAUGUCAGGUCUCGACUGGAAUGUAGUGUAGUAAAGGGUAUCAAUUUCCCUGGCCGUGUGCUAGAGACGCAAGUCUUGUCACGGUUUGGGUUGAGAUGCUUUUGGUAGAGAAUGUGGGGGGGGGGAAUUUCCAUCUCCAUCUCCAUCUCUAUCUCUCUUUCUUUGGUCUCAAAUCAGGCAAGACUACCCGCUGAACUUAAGCAUAUCAGUAAGCGGAGGAAAAGAAACUAACAAGGAUUCCCCUAGUAACGGCGAGUGAAGCGGGAAAAGCUCAAAUUUAGAAUCUCGACAGUCUCUGUCGCGAAUUGUAGUCUAAAGAGGGUGAUCUAGGUGAGGAAGGUUGACCAAGUCUCUUGGAAUAGAGCACCAGAGAGGGUGAGAGUCCCGUAAAGUCAAUCUGAAUUGCUCAAGUGAGAACCUUUCUACGAGUCGAGUUGUUUGGGAA
RNAcentral lists this ribosomal RNA (680 nucleotides) under uncultured fungus. RNAcentral's name for it is "eukaryotic LSU rRNA". The stretch from base 399 to 680 matches the Rfam family "Eukaryotic large subunit ribosomal RNA", at positions 1 to 280 of the family's 3401-position model. Lineage: Eukaryota; Fungi. The record is from RNAcentral.